RNAcentral lists this ribosomal RNA (445 nucleotides) under uncultured bacterium. RNAcentral's name for it is "partial 16S ribosomal RNA". It matches the Rfam family "Bacterial small subunit ribosomal RNA", at positions 354 to 796 of the family's 1533-position model. The record is from RNAcentral.
GUGAGGAAUAUUGGUCAAUGGACGAGAGUCUGAACCAGCCAAGUCGCGUGAAGGAAGACGGUUCUAUGAAUUGUAAACUUCUUUUGUGCAGGAAUAAAGUGGGUUACGUGUAACCUUUUGUAUGUACUGUACGAAUAAGGAUCGGCUAACUCCGUGCCAGCAGCCGCGGUAAUACGGAGGAUCCGAGCGUUAUCCGGAUUUAUUGGGUUUAAAGGGUGCGUAGGUGGAUUGAUAAGUCAGCGGUGAAAGUUUGCAGCUUAACUGUAAAAUUGCCGUUGAUACUGUCGUUCUUGAGUGCAAAUGAGGUAGGCGGAAUGUGUUGUGUAGCGGUGAAAUGCUUAGAUAUAACACAGAACUCCGAUUGCGAAGGCAGCUUACUGGGAUGCAACUGACACUGAUGCACGAAAGCGUGGGUAUCAAACAGGAUUAGAAACCCCGGUAGUCC